RNAcentral lists this ribosomal RNA (496 nucleotides) under uncultured bacterium. RNAcentral describes it as "partial 16S ribosomal RNA". It matches the Rfam family "Bacterial small subunit ribosomal RNA", at positions 29 to 507 of the family's 1533-position model. The record is from RNAcentral.
AUGAACGCUGGCGGCGUGCCUAAUACAUGCAAGUCGAGCGAACGGACGAGAAGCUUGCUUCUCUGAUGUUAGCGGCGGACGGGUGAGUAACACGUGGAUAACCUACCUAUAAGACUGGGAUAACUUCGGGAAACCGGAGCUAAUACCGGAUGAUAUUUUGAACCGCAUGGUUCAAAAGUGAAAGACGGUCUUGCUGUCACUUAUAGAUGGAUCCGCGCUGCAUUAGCUAGUUGGUAAGGUAACGGCUUACCGAGGCAACGAUGCAUAGCCGACCUGAGAGGGUGAUCGGCCACACUGGAACUGAGACACGGUCCAGACUCCUACGGGAGGCAGCAGUAGGGAAUCUUCCGCAAUGGGCGAAAGCCUGACGGAGCAACGCCGCGUGAGUGAUGAAGGUCUUCGGAUCGUAAAACUCUGUUAUUAGGGAAGAACAUAUGUGUAAGUAACUGUGCACAUCUUGACGGUACCUAAUCAGAAAGCCACGGCUAACUACGUG